Long non-coding RNA from Cyprinus carpio (common carp), 1274 nucleotides. RefSeq lists it as uncharacterized. The transcript is spliced from 3 exons. NCBI's taxonomy places the organism in Eukaryota, Metazoa, Chordata, Actinopteri, Cypriniformes, Cyprinidae. The record is from RefSeq and is a predicted model, not a curated record.
ACCACACACCUCUAUUGCAAUUUACAUGUUUUUUGUUUCUCUAUACAGGAAGUCAGCUGUCAAAAUUUCAGCUAAAAGGAAAAGUAAAAGAAGCCAAAACAAUGAUGAUGCUUGCCAGUAUCACAGCACAUUGGACAUUUUCCCAGUGCAAUAUGUGUCCAAGACACGUGAAAAAAAGGGCUGUAAAGAAGUCCUGGUCCAUUGGCUCCCGUGUCCAUCAUGGUAACAUCAGCUUUCUUGUUUAACUGACUUAUGAGUUGUCCUUAGAGGGACAGUUAACCUAAUUAAGAAGCCUGUCUGAUUGACCAUGAAUUGGAAGUUAUUUAUGUUUAUGUAAUAAGCGCCUGGACCAGUGUUACAUUUCUUAUUGGGAAGUCAAGAGGGCUGCUUAAUUCAGAUGAACUAAGACCUCUCCACAUGUGGCAUCAGUUUUUUCCUACAGAGAGAUGAAGCUACACAACUACAACAUACAUGGACAGUUUAAAAUGUCAUUACAAAGUGAGAAUAAUAUACUUCUACAUUCUCUUCUGCUUUCUCCACCCCAUUCUAUCAGGGAAAUGUGUAGAAGCCUAACAGGGUUUAUAAACCAUGUCAGAGGCUAUCCUUAUAUUUAACCUAUUUCAGAAAUUUAAAUACAGAAUUUGUGUACGUUUUAUUUUGCCAUUUCUUUCAGCCAAAAGGCCCGGCCCCCAUCUUGGGAACCGCAGGAGAAGAUGGGAAUGACUGUAUCAUAAAGGAAAGUCUGCUAAAAAUACUGUUGUCACAUUGAUGGUGCAAAGAAACAAAUGUUGUGUCCCUUAAACUGGGCCAUGUGGACAACAAUAAAGUUGUAUUGCACAGAAUUGAUUCCAAUCUAAUGAAAUAGUAUUUGUUUUAUAAAUCUGUUUCAUUAUUUGUUCAUUAGGGCUGGGUGUUGGGAAGGACCUCAUCGCAUCCAAUAUUUCCAUUAUCCAAAAGGCCAAUCGUUGUAUUGUGCAGUUUGCCUUUUCACUUCCUUCCACCCAGAGAAACUAGUCUGCAUUGUCUGCCACUUCCUAUCAGCAUUUCACGAUAAAAGUUCUGUUGCUGGUUUUCUUCUUGUUUCUCCUUCUCUGAAAACAUGGAAUUGACAUUUUUACUAGAGUACUUGAGGGUGUAUAAAUAUCUUUCAUUCUGUCCUAUGACAAAGUUUGAUUUUCACCUCAUUCUGGCCCCAUAUAUUCAAGCUCGUUAAUAAAGCACAAGCACGCCUGUAUGUACAAUAGUAACCCCAAGAAAUUUUAAAAUACCAAAAU